This is a non-coding RNA of Peromyscus maniculatus bairdii (prairie deer mouse), 1007 nucleotides long. Lineage: Eukaryota; Metazoa; Chordata; Mammalia; Rodentia; Cricetidae. The record is from RefSeq and is a predicted model, not a curated record.
CACACACAUCUGAAGAUUAAAGCUAGCACCUACAUAUGAGAGACAACAUGUGUCUUUAUGGGUCUGGGUUACUUUACUCAGAAUCAUUUCUUUCUUUCUUUCUUUUUUUUGAAACAGGGUAUCAAGUAGCCCUGGCUGGCCUCCAACUCACUGUACAGAUAAGGGUGUUGAAUCUCUGAUCCUACCUUCACCUCCCAGAGUGCUGAGGUUGCAGCCAUGCACCACUGUGUCCAGUUUUGAUGCCUCGUGGAUGCAAUCCAGGGCCCCUUGCAUGCUGGGCGAGUGCUCUGUCGACUGAGCCACAUCCCCAGCCCUGAUUUUGCUAAUCCUUGAAGCUGAUGCCUAGCCUAAGUGAUGGUGGGGUUUUAAUUGUACUCUUUUACUUUUUGAAGAUUUAUUUACGUUGGUUUUUAUGUGUAUAAGUGUUUUGCUUGCAUAUGUAUCCGUGGACCACAUAUGUGUCCUGCUAGAAGAAGCCAGAAGAAGGCAUCAGAUCCUCCGGGACUGGAGCUAUGGACAUUUGUGGGCUGCCAUUGCAGAUAUUGGGAGCUGAACCAGGUUCUUUGUAAGAGUAACAAGUUCUCUUUACCAUUGAGCCAUCUCUCCAACCCCUAAUUCUUCUUCAUAGAUAAUCCAAAAAGAAGGUUCCAACCUUCUGGAAUAUGUAUAAGGUGUGACAAAGGCUGAUAUUGGACUCAUGAAUGCAGAUCAACAAGGGACAGACAAACCAUUUGCCAUUGGAAAAUUGCCUAAGGUGUCACCUGCAGGCCCAAAUAUUUGAUUCACUCAUGAACUGUCAGCAUCGGAGAAACUCCUCCACAAAGAAAUUAAAAGACUUAAUGCCUGUUGUUUAAAACAACACAGCUUUGGAUGUAAUCCAGGACAGAACUUCUUCAGUAGAUAAAACAAAAAAUUCAAAAGAGACCAGAAAACAAGCAUUUUGGCAAACUACUAUAAAUGACCAGAUAUCAAAGCUAAAAAUACAAAUAAAUGGCCUUGAAAUCGAA